Molecule: non-coding RNA, 21 nt
Organism: Caenorhabditis elegans
Lineage: Eukaryota; Metazoa; Nematoda; Chromadorea; Rhabditida; Rhabditidae
Source: Ensembl
UUUGAUAGACUUCCUUAACGC